CUACGGAGGGUGCGAGCGUUAAUCGGAAUUACUGGGCGUAAAGCGUACGUAGGCGGUUGGUUAAGUUAGAUGUGAAAGCCCCGGGCUUAACCUGGGAACUGCAUUUAAAACUGGCGAACUAGAGUUGAGUAGAGGGGAGUGGAAUUUCAGGUGUAGCGGUGAAAUGCGUAGAGAUCUGAAGGAACACCAGUGGCGAAGGCGACUCCCUGGACUCGAACUGACGCUGAGGUACGAAAGCGUGGGUAGCAAACGGGAUUAGAAACCCCAGUAGUCC
RNAcentral lists this ribosomal RNA (274 nucleotides) under uncultured bacterium. RNAcentral's name for it is "partial 16S ribosomal RNA". It matches the Rfam family "Bacterial small subunit ribosomal RNA", at positions 523 to 796 of the family's 1533-position model. The record is from RNAcentral.